UUAUAACUGUACUAAGGUAGCAUAAUAAUUUGCUCUAUAAAUUGGGGCUAGAAUGAAUGGUUUGACGAAAAUUAUACUGUCUCUAUUUUAUUUAUUAGAAAUUAAUUUUUAUAGUGAGAAAGCUUGGAUAAUUUAAAGGGACGAGAAGACCCUAUUGAGCUUAUAUUAUUAUUUAAAUUAAAUUGUGUUAUAUAAUGUUUAAUAAAAAUUUAUUAGUAAUUAAUUUUGGUUGGGGUGAUCAAGGAAUAAAAAUUAGUUUUAGAAAUAACUUCCUUAAGCAUAUAAAUAUUUAUAGGGUGAUAAACCAAGUUUUUUGCUUAUAAGAUAAGUUACCAUAGGGAUAACAGCGUAAUUUUUUUUGAGAGUUCAUAUUAAAAAAAAAGAUUGCGACCUCGAUGUUGGAUUAA
This 407-nucleotide ribosomal RNA is filed under the name Octopus sp. SA_05. RNAcentral's name for it is "partial 16S ribosomal RNA". The record is from RNAcentral. Lineage: Eukaryota; Metazoa; Mollusca; Cephalopoda; Octopoda; Octopodidae.